CACAGGUUUACGCAGUGAAGAACAGGAGAGACACUAGGGUCAAAUCUGCACAGAACAGGACCACAGGAAGGAGUCCCUCUGCACAGAGCACUCGAAGGCUCCAGCUUCACGGCUACCAGAAGCCCCUCAGCCCCUCUGACACCCAGUGCUGGAGCAGGUGGGGAUCAGCCCUCACUGCCGAUGUCUGUGCCAUGGCCUUGCAUUGCGUCCUACUGAGUCCUCUCUCCACCCGGACCCUGCUGCCCAGGCACCCUUGCAGCCCAAGGCAGCUCUGCACCUUGUUUGGCUUCUGAGCUGCCAGGAGAGUCAAAUCAUCGGCUCCUUCAUGCUACUUGGAACACAGAGACAGUCGCCUCUUCUAUCUGUGGCUGUGCUUCCUCAGUUGGCCACAGCUAACCAUGGCCUGGAAAUAUGGAAUGGAAAAUAACCAAAAUAAAUAAUUCAGAAGUUUUCGUGACUUGCCCAGAGCCUCUGAAUACCGUGGCAAAAUCUCCUGUUGUCCUGCUCUGGCCUGCCUGCCACAUAAAUCAUCUCUUUGCUCAUCAAGCUCACAUCAGCUAGGACACAAGUUCAUCAGCCACUCGAUGGAUGCUGGGUCUCAGCAGGAAGAGAAGGUGGUUUCCAGGAAGUGCUCACUUUGUUCAAGAUAACACCUGGGAGGGCCAGAGAUUUAGCUCAGCAGGGGCUGGAAAAGCAGUGUCAACAGGGGCGAAUUGUAGAUGCCUGAGACCUGAUAGCUGUUAAUGGUUACCUGAGGGCCAAGGCUGCCAGGUUUCUGCAGACGCAGAACCUUUCCAGAUGAGAAUCAGGGACAGUCACACCCCAGGAGCGUGGGAAUCCGAGGACCGCUUCUGAGAUGGGGUGCAUGAUUCUCCACAGAUUUCAGAAUUGUCCAUCUCCGCCUGAGAUUCCCACUCACUAUGUAGACCAUGCUGGCCUUGAACGUGUGGCAACGCUCCUGCCGUACCCUUCUAAGUGCUGGAAUUACAGAAUGGCUUCUGCGUAACUCAGGACCGCACCAAACCCAACCAGACAAGGCUGUGGAGAGGCCUGGGGGCUCCAGGGUGGUCUCAGAGUCUAACACAGAGCCCUGGAGAGGAACAAUGCCCCUGGGGACACCGCUGGAAGAGGAGGAGACAGUUGUCUCCCCCCCCCCCCACCCCAGAGAAGGAGAGGGCGGCUAGCACAGCCCAGCCCCCCAGAAGGUGGGGCAGGACGGGGUGGUAGGGCACCAGGGUUGGGCCUGGAAUUUCCCUGGGAAGAGGGUCCCAGCACAAGAACAGCAAAGUCACAGUUUAAAUAAUGUUCAUAGUCUGAGGAUCUAGGGACCCACUUUUGGACCAAACCCAACUUUCAUGUUGGGAAAUUGCUCCCAGAUCAGGACGGAAGUUCAUGUUAACAGCCACGGAGAUUUACACCUCAGUUUACCCAUCUGGGCUGUGUC
Cavia porcellus (domestic guinea pig) is the source of this 1444-nucleotide long non-coding RNA. RefSeq lists it as uncharacterized. The transcript has 5 exons. The record is from RefSeq and is a predicted model, not a curated record. Lineage: Eukaryota; Metazoa; Chordata; Mammalia; Rodentia; Caviidae.